This 277-nucleotide ribosomal RNA is filed under the name Trevathana longidonta. Its description in RNAcentral is "partial 12S ribosomal RNA". Lineage: Eukaryota; Metazoa; Arthropoda; Thecostraca; Balanomorpha; Pyrgomatidae. The record is from RNAcentral.
UUAACGGAUUUGGCGGCAAGAUAGCCAUUUAGAGGAACCUGCCCUGUAAACGAUGAACCACGAAGUACUUUACUUUUAUUUGUUAUCAGUUUGUAUACCGCUGUUGUCAGUCAGUUUUUCUAGAAAUCUUUCUACUAUGAUAAAAUCAAAUACUUCAAGUAAAGGUGCAGCUUAUGUAAAAGAUAGAGGUGGGUUACAUUUAUGAAGAUUAAAACGAAUAAAGAUUUUUUGAAAAAUACUUUUGAAGGUGGAUUUAAAUGUAAAGUUUAAAAAAACU